GAGAUUCUCAUGGACAGAGGAAUCUGGUGGGCUAUAGUCCACGGGUCGCACAGAGUCAGACAUGACUGAGCACACAGCAUGCGUGAUAAUGACCACUUACAGAACUGUUACUAUUACUCACUUUCCUUGCUUCGUUUUAAACAAGUUGUUCUUUUCUUUUGGUUGUGCCCCAGUGCAUGGGGGCAUCUUAGUUCUCCACCAGGACAUGCUCUCUGCAGUGCCCUAACCAGCGAUGGCCAGCCAGAGCAUUCCCUGCUUCAUUUAAUUUCCUCCCCAAGCUUGCACAUUGAGUUUAUUGGAUUCCUUUUGCAGCUGGGUCCACAGAGGUGAAAUGAUUCACCCAGGGUCACACAGGUGGAAACUGGCAGAGCCGGGAGUUGGAACUAGGUUCAUCUGGUUCCAAAAAUUAAGCUUCCUUCCUUUUGCACCAAGGAGCAGGGGCUUUUCCUAAUGCUUGGUGACGCUAUUGAGAGAUAACCACUAUCAUCUGUUGUAUCUACUCUGUAUGGAAAGCCACACACUUUGCUGCCAUCCCUGAUCUCAGGAGACGUUCCCAGCAACCCUUUAGGAAUUUCUGGAGGUCAUGCUCAAGAAUUGGGAACGGCAAAUGCGUUUUGGCUUUUUCAUCAAGAUGAAUUGAUUCCUAAUGGCCACUUGGAAGCACAGAGUUGAGAAGGAUUUGCUCAGUGGGAAAGACUGUCCGCCAUCGAUUGGUGCUGUCUGCCAUCCU
Bubalus bubalis (water buffalo) is the source of this 730-nucleotide long non-coding RNA. RefSeq lists it as uncharacterized. Lineage: Eukaryota; Metazoa; Chordata; Mammalia; Artiodactyla; Bovidae. The record is from RefSeq and is a predicted model, not a curated record. The transcript has 2 exons.